Pecten maximus is the source of this 427-nucleotide long non-coding RNA. RefSeq lists it as uncharacterized. The record is from RefSeq and is a predicted model, not a curated record. Lineage: Eukaryota; Metazoa; Mollusca; Bivalvia; Pectinida; Pectinidae. The transcript is spliced from 3 exons.
UGUGUCAGGAGGCAUUGCCAGCCCCAAAUGAGAAGAUCCAUGGUUUCAUCAGAGACAGGUAAUGUGUAGCCCUCUGCAUUUACCAGGUGGAUGAGGAACAUUUGCUGGCGCCAGUAUGAAGUGAGCGUGGUUCUCUGUACCUACCAUUGGCCACACAAAGAGGAUGGUAGAGAGCUGGCUUCAAUAACAACCUUGGACUUGGACAUAUCACCUCCUCCCACGUUAGUUGUUUGGGCAGCAUCACGCCGGCAGUUCCUAUCAGAGAAAAAGGCUUGUGGUAUUCAUAGUACACAAGUCAGCUGGUGUUGGUAAGUCUCCCUAAGUGAGACACUGACUAGAGAAGAGGCUCAUGUCUCCACCCAAAGGAUGAUUAAAUUUGAUGUGACAACAAACCUGUUGGAAACGGUCCACAGCACUUCAGGACACG